This 243-nucleotide ribosomal RNA is filed under the name uncultured bacterium. RNAcentral's name for it is "partial 16S ribosomal RNA". It matches the Rfam family "Bacterial small subunit ribosomal RNA", at positions 32 to 254 of the family's 1533-position model. The record is from RNAcentral.
AAUCAACGCUGGCGGCGUGCCUCAGACAUGCAAGUCGAACGCGAAAUUUCCCUUCGGGGAGAAAGUAGAGUGGCGCACGGGUGAGUAACACGUAGGUAAUUUGCCUUUGGGUGGGGAAUAACAGUCGGAAACGGCUGCUAAUACCGCAUAAUGCAGCGGCUCGACAUCGAGACAGUUGUUAAAGCGGGGGAUCGCAAGACCUCGCGCCUGAAGAGAAGCCUGCGGCAGAUUAGCUAGUUGGUA